GACGAACGCUGGCGGCGUGCCUAAUACAUGCAAGUAGAACGCAGUUGCGAACGGGUGAGUAACGCGUAGGUAACUGCCUGGUAGCGGGGGAUAACUAUUGGAUACGAUAGCUAAUACCGCAUACUACCAGAUGGACCUGCGUUGUAUUAGCUAGUUGGUGAGGUAACGGCUCACCAAGGCAACGAUACAUAGCCGAACUGAGAGGGUGAUCCGCCACACUGGGACUGGGACACGGCCCAGACUCCGACGGGAGGCAGCAGUAGGGAAUCUUCGGCAAGGGGAGGAAAACUGACCGAGCAACGCCGCGUGAGUGAAGAAGGUUUUCGGGUCGUAAAGAUAUGUUGUUGAGGAAGAGGUACUUAACAAGAAAGAGACGGCUAACUACGUGCCAGCAGCCGCGGUAAUAA
This 407-nucleotide ribosomal RNA is filed under the name uncultured bacterium. Its description in RNAcentral is "partial 16S ribosomal RNA". It matches the Rfam family "Bacterial small subunit ribosomal RNA", at positions 28 to 526 of the family's 1533-position model. The record is from RNAcentral.